RNAcentral lists this long non-coding RNA (1483 nucleotides) under Equus caballus (horse). RNAcentral's name for it is "lncRNA (ENSECAG00000047153.1)". The record is from RNAcentral. Lineage: Eukaryota; Metazoa; Chordata; Mammalia; Perissodactyla; Equidae.
GUUGUUUACAAGCCACCCAAUCUAUGGUAUUUUUGUUAAAGCAGCCCUGAGGGACUAAGACACAAAGGUUUGAAGAAUCGGGGCCCCUUGGCAAGACUGUAAAGUGACAAAGGCUCAGGCAACUGCUGCUUUUUCUGCCCCUCUCCUCUCCAUACCCUCCUCAUUGGAAACACUGACAUUAGACCUUGUCCCGUUGAGAAGUGUGGGAGCAGGAGGGUGUGAAUUUCUUGUGACCAGUUCACUUAUUAUUCCUGCCCCAGGGUGUGUAAGGAGGGGCUGGUGGUGACAGGGAGAGAGCUGAUAGGACUAGGGAGAUAGAAAUCAAAUCAUCGCAGUGAGUCACCGUGAUGUUCCCUAACCCACCCACGUGGGGCUCUGUGCACCUCAGAGAGGAACAAAUAAAUACGGAGGCACAUACGUUAUUAAGUGUAAUUACAUUGCUACUUAUAGGUUCAAUUAAAUACUCUGGACAUUUUUACAAUGCAAUUUGAGGUGUGAUGCGUGCAGCAAUAGCAUUAACCUUUAAUCAUAGUUCUUUCCCCUAGAAAUGUGGUGAUGACUCUAUUAAUUAGUAAUGAAGUGAUUAAAUAGGAAUAGAAGCCAUCAGAUCACGAUUCCUCUUCACUGGGUCCUCUCCCUAGAUUUAAACGUGGCCUUUUGACCUUCCUCUCCAAAGAAAACACAUCUCAGGAGGUAGGUGUGUGUAUGAGGGGGAGAUGUUGAAUUUUCUGAAGCCUCUUCUCUCCCAGAGGCACAGGGUAGAAAAAUGGGUAGGAUGAGCACUGUAUAAUCAGGAUAUGCAGUGUUCAGUCUUGGGGUGUUAUUGCUCCUUUUGUUAUUGCUAAUUGUCCCUUCUGGGUACUGGAUUUAGGGACUUAGAAUGACAUGAGUUAUGCAGUUCUGCACUAUGGUCUUGAAAUUGCUCAGUCCUGAACAUUCCUGUACUCAUAGCCUGUUCCCACCUCCCAAUACCAUCCAGGAAUCUCAGUGGGCUUUAGAGAAUCCAUUUGCCAUCCACUUCCUGGGAUGUCUGAGGCCCACACACUGUGCUUCCAGACCAUCCAACGAUCCAUCCACUCACCCUGUGGUUCAAUCCAGGCUUACCGUGUGAUCCCGCUGCAUGUCAGGAAUCAUGGGAAACACUGAGGGGAUGAAGGCAAAGAUCGCUGCUCUUAUGGAACCCUGUCAAAUUCGGUCACAAAUUGUGUUGCCGUAAUUGCAAUCCUACAAUAAUUGUUGUAGGAUUGAUAAUGACUACAAUAGAGAGAAGAACACGGUCUAGGGGAAACUCAAGGAGGGGUACCUGACUCAGCCCGUGGUGUCAUGGAGGAGACGACACCCUUCUCCUGGAGAAGGCAACACCCAAGCUGAGUCUUUUAGGAUAAACGAAACUAACAAAUGUGGAAACAGGCAGGGGCAGGUAUCCCAAGCAUAGGAGAUACCAUGAGUCAGGGUGCGGAAGCGAAACAGCCCCUGUUGCCCC